Molecule: long non-coding RNA, 1469 nt
Filed under: Cyanistes caeruleus (blue tit)
Lineage: Eukaryota; Metazoa; Chordata; Aves; Passeriformes; Paridae
Description: lncRNA (ENSCCEG00000004643.1)
Source: RNAcentral
UCCAAACUGGGGCCAGGUGACAAGUACGAGCUGCACGCCGCCACUGCCACCACUCCCAGCGUUGUCGUUCACGUGUGCGACAGCGACAGCGACCUCGAGGGGGACACCAAGAAACCCAAACCCAAAAUCAUCCAGACCCGCCGGCCCGACUUCGCUCCCGCCCCCCUCAGCUGAGCUCCAGCCGCUUUUCCAAGGAUUCCGAGGGAAAAUCCCCCGGGGAAACGGCGCCUCCCGGCUUUGGCAGCAGCGAGGAGGAGAAUUCCAAGCUAAGUUGGCUCCAAAUGAAGGAAUUCCAGGCUCAGUUUGGCUGCCGGGUGUUGAUCCACGAAUUCCCGGAUCCCUGGGAACAAAGGAUGGGAGAAGGGGACGUUUUGGGACAUUACAGGACAACACUGGGAUUCUUUUUUUAGGGGGAAAAGCAGCUGGGGGAGGCUUUCCUUGUUCUGAUUCCCAGAAAUCCUCCAGCUGAUGGUUGUGUGGAAAAGCUUGGGAUAACAGGGUUGGAAAAAUGAUGGGAAUUUUGGGAAUUUAACCCUUUUUCUGACACUAGGUUUUGUGCAUGUUUCUUCUUGGUCUUCUCAAGUAAUUUGCUUUUUUUUCUAGAGUUUCUCCCGAGUUUUUGGAAAUCUGGGAAUCAAGUAUUUAUUAUCUCAGCAUCCCAGAAUUCCUCCUGGAUGUGUACAUACAUGAUAUAUUUAUAUUUGAUUUUAUUGGAGCUCCUUUUCCAGCAGGAUCCAAUUCCUCCAGCACCUGCUUUUUGGUGCUUUGGAAAUUGUGCUUUUAAAAUUUGAACCUUUAAAAUUCCUGCAGAGGGUUUUGAAAUUGUGCUUUUAAAAUUUGAACCUUUGAAAUUCCUGCAGAAGGUUUAGAAAUUGUGCUUUUAAAAUUUGAACCUUUAAAAUUCCUGCAGAGGGUUUUUAACCUGGCAAAGCGAUGGAAAAAAAAAGGUGCAAUAGGAGAGUUGGUGGAAUUCCAUGGAUUUUAAAUUAUUGGAAGUUAAGGUAAUUUAUAUCUUUAAUAAGAUUUGUUUGGGAGCUUUGACUUUGGGAGGGAAAAGGACUCAAAUAACGCUGAUGGUGCAUUUUCAGAGCUGGGGUGUUUUUGGGGAAAAAAAGAAAUUGAUGGAGAAACUUGAAUCUGCAUUUUUGGUGAGUAAAGAUUUGAUAGAGAUUGGAAAAAUUCCACCCAGGAAGCAGUGAGGAAAGCUGGAGUGCCUUUUCCUUAUCCAUUCCUACUCCAAGCUGCACACUUGGAUCUUUUUCUACUGAAUAUCCAGAAAUCUGAAUUUUCUGAGCUUUGCUUCCAAACUCAGCUGGGAUGAAACGUUUCUAAAUGCCAAGAAAUGCUGAUUUAAGCAGUGGCAAAUGUGGGAGAAGCUUUAGGGUUUUUUUAUGGCAGUGUUUAAAGGCUCCUAAAUGCAAAUUUCAAAGAAGAAAGAUGGCAGAAAUAUUUUAUUACUGUUUUUUAAA